AAAAGCUCAAAUUUGAAAUCUGCGUAAGCCGAGUUGUAAUUUGAAGAUGGCUACUUUGGUAAUGGCUCUUGUCUAUGUUCCUUGGAACAGGACGUCACAGAGGGUGAGAAUCCCGUGCGAUGAGAUGUCCAUUACCGUGUAAAGUGCUUUCGAAGAGUCGAGUUGUUUGGGAAUGCAGCUCUAAGUGGGUGGUAAAUUCCAUCUAAAGCUAAAUAUUGGCGAGAGACCGAUAGCGAACAAGUACAGUGAUGGAAAGAUGAAAAGAACUUUGAAAAGAGAGUGAAAAAGUACGUGAAAUUGUUGAAAGGGAAGGGCUUGAGAUCAGACUUGGUAUUUUGUAUGGCUUGCUUUCGGGCGGGUCCUCUGCAGUUUACUGGGCCAGCAUCGGUUUGGGUGGCAGGAUAAUAGCAUUGGAAUGUGGCUCUACUUCGGUGGAGUGUUAUAGCCUUUGUUGAUACUGCCUGCCUAGACCGAGGACUGCGUCUUUUGACUAGGAUGCUGGCAUAAUGAUCCUAAGCCGCCCGUCUU
This 528-nucleotide ribosomal RNA is filed under the name Fermentozyma sake. RNAcentral describes it as "eukaryotic LSU rRNA". It matches the Rfam family "Eukaryotic large subunit ribosomal RNA", at positions 103 to 655 of the family's 3401-position model. The record is from RNAcentral. Lineage: Eukaryota; Fungi; Ascomycota; Pichiomycetes; Serinales; Debaryomycetaceae.